AUCUGGUCUCAACGACAGCGCUGCAGUGGACAGAAGAGUAAGUUCAAGAAGACGUUGGAGACUAAGUCCGGAAACUGGAGGCCCAGAGUCUUGAAGGACACACUGGAAGCUGGACCUGAGGCAGUUGUGAGAGAGCCAGCAUGAAGGAAAAACCUACAUGAAUAUGUCCUCACCAAUCUACCUGUUGCAGAUGCAUCUGUUCAAGACAUCAUUGGUAGCAGCGAAUACUGCACAGUUCUUGCGGAGAAGAAGUCCAACCGUCAUACAGGAUAACACCCUGCAUCAUAUUUUGUGGCAAGACUACGGUGCUAAAUGUGAUAAAUUCAAAACAGAUCUAGCAGUUCAAAACUAGGCAUCUUUGAGGCACUGUGGGUCAGCAGCAGGAUUAGGUACCAAAGCUAUCUGUAACCUUAUGGCCUGACAGAUCAGUCAUUCUACCACUGCCGUCAAGCAAGGGGAGAAAUGCAGGAGAGCGUGCCAGGAACAAUACCAGGUGAACAUAAAAUGAGGGGCUAGGCUGGUGAAGCUACAACAUGGGAUUACAUGUAUGCGAUGGACAGAGAUAAGUGAUCCCAAAACCAACAAAUAAGAUCAAAUCUCUGCAGUCCUGCCAUAUCCAGUCAUCAAUGGUGGUAGACAAUUAAAUAACAAAUGGAAUAAUUGCACAGUGUUCAGAUUCAUUCUCAACUCCUCAUAUAAUGUAGCAAUCUGUACCGACACACAGCAAAACUUGGACAAUGUUCCAACUUGAGCUGAUAGAUGCCAAGCAACAUUCACACCACAAAAGUACCAGGUAAUGACUAUGGUUAGAAUCAUAUCUCUCAAGACUGAAUUUCUAUUUUACAAGAUGGAAGGACAGGGCAUUAUUUGUACAUUUGGAUGCUAACCUGUGCUUUUUUUAAAAAAAGAUUGUAAGUUCACCUUGAAACUGUCUACAGGCAGACCUCUUCCAAGAAAUCACCUGACCUUUAUGGUACUUGAGGAAGAUCUGAUUGUUUUGAGCAGCAAUCAUUUUAAUUGAUGGGAAAAAAACUGAAAAGGCAAAGCUUGGUAACUUGCUGGAAAUCAUAUGGAAGAGAUAAAAAAGCUUAAGUUGUGAACCUGCUGGUUUUGAAGGCAGUCUGGUUGGGGAACAAGCUGAGGAAGAAAGGCUACCCCAACUGGCUCUCUCUCUUUCAAUCUUGCCUGCAAUUGUGUGCAGCUAUCAGCCUAUCAACCUGUAGUCAGAGAACCCGCAUCCAAGGAUAUAAGUGGUCUGCAUUUGGAUCUACAAAUCUGAGACCAGUUGUUGAGAAGUUCCAGACAUCUACCGGAACCAGUGGCCCAUCUUCACAUGAGGGAACUCUAGGUUGACAACGUCGAGAUCCUGUGAAAUGUAUCCUUUAUUUUGUAACACCCAUCCUCUAAAAACUACCUCUGCAGAGAGACUCUAUUUGUUUGUCCUUUGUUUGUGUGUGUGUGUGUGCGCGCGCACUAGGGGAAUUCUUUGGGAAGAGAAAAAUAGUUUUACUUCCUGAUUACAGUUGUGUAUUAAUCAGUGCUUGCAACUUGUUAAAAAGAAGUUCUGUUCAAUAAUAAACAAUUGUUCUGAGUUUAUUGAAA
Carcharodon carcharias (great white shark) is the source of this 1602-nucleotide long non-coding RNA. RefSeq lists it as uncharacterized. NCBI's taxonomy places the organism in Eukaryota, Metazoa, Chordata, Chondrichthyes, Lamniformes, Lamnidae. The record is from RefSeq and is a predicted model, not a curated record. The transcript is spliced from 2 exons.